UUUCCGUAGGUGAACCUGCGGAAGGAUCAUUAAUGAGUUGUCAUGGGGUUCGAUGCUGGCAGCCAGUUUUUGGAUGCAUGUGCUUGCCCUAACAAUCAUCUUCUUCCAAACACCUGUGCACAUUUUUGAGGGAGUCUUGAGUUGGUUGCCGCUCUUGGGUGAUUUUCUCACAUUCCCUUAAAUCAUUAUACGCUAUUAACAAUGUUGAACGUGCUCUGUGCCGCAAGGCCAUUAAUAUAAUACAACUUUUAACAACGGAUCUCUUGGUUCUC
Molecule: unclassified non-coding RNA, 272 nt
Filed under: plant metagenome
Description: partial contains small subunit ribosomal RNA, internal transcribed spacer 1, and 5.8S ribosomal RNA
Source: RNAcentral